Molecule: unclassified non-coding RNA, 1137 nt
Filed under: Hevea brasiliensis (rubber tree)
Lineage: Eukaryota; Viridiplantae; Streptophyta; Magnoliopsida; Malpighiales; Euphorbiaceae
Source: RNAcentral
GAAUGGAAGUGUGGUUGAAUCAGGACAUAAUCUCAUGGGUUAUGUUCUUGGCACCAUUAUACCUCUUUCUGCCACCAUUGAAAAGGAGGGUCAACAAGUUUCAAAUCCUAAUUAUGAAUUUUGGGAUUGUCAAGAUCAAUUAAUCUUGGCGGUCAUAAUUGCUUCGGUAACAUUUUUUGUGAUGAAUACAAUUGCAGAUGCCAAGACCUCAGCGGAGGCAUGGACCAAACUUCAAGUAGCCUUUGCAAAAAAGUCAACCACUAGAAUUUUAUCAUUGCAGGAAAAAUUAUCCAGAACAAAGUGAGAUUCACCCCCUAUUGCUGAGUAUCUACAAACUGUCAAGUCGAUUGCGAAGGAACUCUCUCUAUGUGGUAGUCCUGUAACGCUCUCACUUUAGGUAGUCCGUACACUACUGCUUCGAUGACUAACGUCUGUUCGGACAGCCAGGAUGUCUGGAACUACACUCGAACUAGAGUGAGGAGUCAAGAGAUGACUAAAUAAAGACCAAAAAAAAUUAAGAAAAAAUAAAAGAAAUGAAUUGUAAAUGAGUUAAACGAGCCGGAGUUACUGCGAUGGGUCACCGUACUGGGAAGCGAUUGUGAAGACAGUUGCUGACCCUAGACCCGCGAGGAACCCUGGUUGACUGUCUUUGAUCCAACAAAAGCUUCAAUCUUUUUACAGUCACAAUCAAAUCUGUAACAAGCCACUAAAGCAAAAUGAAACUUCAUAAUUAUCAUAUGUGCUAUAUUCAGAAACAGAGUAAACAGAAACCAGAGAGCAUGCUUUAAUACACAAUGACACGAGUAACCUCAUAUUGUAUCACACUAGAGCAAAUAAAAAGCAGCUUCUUUAAUGCAUACACCAUACAAUUUUCUUUAGAGAUGCUAUUACUAACUGAAUUUCAUACUUGGUAAUUGGUGGCGUAUACAAGAACCCCUUAAUUGGUUGGAAGUAAUCCCAAACCCGCUCUAUGGCUUAGGAAUAUAGAAUCCAAGCACAAAGAAGUUCAAGAAUCAAUAGCCAAUUACCGCUUAAUUGGGACAUAAGAACACAAAGAAAUUGAAUUAACCAAGCCUAACGCAUUUCCUGAGACCAAACUGAACAUGAAUUACUGUUAUUUGAGAGAGAGAGAGAGAG